Long non-coding RNA from Carassius gibelio (silver crucian carp), 738 nucleotides. RefSeq lists it as uncharacterized. The transcript has 3 exons. The record is from RefSeq and is a predicted model, not a curated record. Lineage: Eukaryota; Metazoa; Chordata; Actinopteri; Cypriniformes; Cyprinidae.
UGGGGGCGCUGUUGUACUUUCUCUAAGCUGGGCGCGCUAUAGAACAUUCUUUCCGCUCGCCUGUUUAAUGUGUACAGCGCGCCCCCACCGUGUCUGUCACACACUCAGACAACGUGAAUACAGAAACCGGUUGUCUUAAAGGCACGAAGAAACACCUGAACGAGCAGAGAUGAGCUGCUGGCCGGUAUCCGACUCUGGUCUCACUCUGAGCACUUCAUUGGUUCUGCUGACAUCCGCUACCAUACCGCACUGAUGACAUCUUAUUUAAGCGCGCAGGCAGACAAGACAAGAAACCUGUACCAUCAGAUAGAAUGCAAGAAUGAAAAAAAGAGAGAAGAUCCACAUCUCGCGACCAGAUAAGGCCAUGAGAGGUAAUCCAGUGAAAUUCUGCCCUUUGUAGGAAAAAGGAGCCGCGGCUGUCAGACGCAGAGUCCCUGAGCGCACACCGAGAGCCUGUGCAGAGAACACAAUCCGCUGAAGGAAAAAAGGGCAUUUUCAACACUGACAUUUACGUGGAUUAAUAAUAAAUAUCUCAUUAAAUGAAAAAACAUAUUUUUAUUGGCCUUGUGUUGACAAAUGAAUCUUUUGUCAACAUUUUCCAUGCUUCACACAUCACACUGUGUGAACUGCUGAACUGUGCUGUACAACAGGUACUGAUAUGAUAUCGUACCGCUGUAAUUUUAACCGUACUCAUGUUAUUUUUAAUAUUAAAGUGGGUGUGUCUGUUUUUACCUUAAA